GAUGAACGCUGGCGGCGUGCCUAAUACAUGCAAGUCGAGCGAACAGACGAGGAGCUUGCUCCUCUGACGUUAGCGGCGGACGGGUGAGUAACACGUGGAUAACCUACCUAUAAGACUGGGAUAACUUCGGGAAACCGGAGCUAAUACCGGAUAAUAUAUUGAACCGCAUGGUUCAAUAGUGAAAGACGGUUUUGCUGUCACUUAUAGAUGGAUCCGCGCCGCAUUAGCUAGUUGGUCAGGUAACGGCUUACCAAGGCAACGAUGCGUAGCCGACCUGAGAGGGUGAUCGGCCACACUGGAACUGAGACACGGUCCAGACUCCUACGGGAGGCAGCAGUAGGGAAUCUUCCGCAAUGGGCGAAAGCUUGACGGAGCAACGCCGCGUGAGUGAUGAAGGUCUUCGGAUCGUAAAACUCUGUUAUUAGUGAAGAACAAAUGUGUAAGUAACUAUGCACGUCUUGACGGUACCUAAUCAGAAAGCCACGGCUAACUACGUG
RNAcentral lists this ribosomal RNA (497 nucleotides) under uncultured bacterium. Its description in RNAcentral is "partial 16S ribosomal RNA". It matches the Rfam family "Bacterial small subunit ribosomal RNA", at positions 28 to 507 of the family's 1533-position model. The record is from RNAcentral.